AUUGAACGCUGGCGGCAGGCCUAACACAUGCAAGUCGAGCGAGCGGCGGACGGGUGAGUAAUGUCUGGGAAACUGCCUGAUGGAGGGGGAUAACUACUGGAAACGGUAGCUAAUACCGCAUACCAUCAGAUGUGCCCAGAUGGGAUUAGCUGGUAGGUGGGGUAAUGGCUCACCUAGGCGACGAACCCUAGCUGGUCUGAGAGGAUGACCAGCCACAUUGGAACUGAGACACGGCCCAGACUCCUACGGGAGGCAGCAGUGGGGAAUAUUGCACAAUGGGCGCAAGCCUGACGGAGCAAUGCCGCGUGUGUGAAGAAGGUCUUCGGGUUGUAAAGCACUUUCAGCGGGGAGGCGUUACCCGAAGAAGAAGCACCGGCUAACUCCGUGCCAGCAGCCGCGGUAAUAC
RNAcentral lists this ribosomal RNA (406 nucleotides) under uncultured bacterium. RNAcentral's name for it is "partial 16S ribosomal RNA". It matches the Rfam family "Bacterial small subunit ribosomal RNA", at positions 30 to 526 of the family's 1533-position model. The record is from RNAcentral.